Arachis stenosperma is the source of this 1425-nucleotide RNA transcript. It is a transcript of the gene named microtubule-associated protein 70-5-like, with no coding region annotated. The transcript is spliced from 6 exons. NCBI's taxonomy places the organism in Eukaryota, Viridiplantae, Streptophyta, Magnoliopsida, Fabales, Fabaceae. The record is from RefSeq and is a predicted model, not a curated record.
UUGCCCUUUCCAUUCUCUUUCUUCUGUUUAAAAUUUUCUAAUUUCCAGCUUAGGGAUUCGAUCACCUGUUCUGAGCUUGUUCCACGAUUCUACUCUAUUUGUGAUUUUUUUUUGUGUAGAUAAAUGCAUUGCUUUCAAUCAUUCAUCUUAGUAUUUUUCGUUCUUAUACAAUGUGCGAAACACUUGGAUUUCAAUUUUAUAUAUAUAGCUUGAAGAGGCUUUCUGAAACUUUUUCAGUUUCACCAUUGUAACACUGGUUUAAUCUAUUUCCUCUCAUAUUGUAUGCAUGUUUGUUUAUUCUGUUUGGUUAAUUAUUUUUGGAACCCUAGAAUUGCACAUUCUUCAUUAAUCAGUGUUCUAGCAAUACAGUGAAAUUCGUUGAACUCUUAUAAAUAUAGAAUUGAAUUGAACUUCUAGAUUGUGGCUUCUCUUAAUCACUUAUUGCAGCAGAUAGAUUUAUCUAUGCAGAAAUUGUAUUAUUAGGAUUAUUUAUUGCAGUAUUAUUCUCUCUUCUGUGAUUUGGAAGUUGUAGAAGUAGUUAGGUGAUAUGUUAAGAUAGAAUAUUGGAAGGUUACUUUUUUUUCUCCUUCUGUUUUAUGACCUUCUUUUCAGCUUAAAUAUUAAUGGAAAAUAAAAUUAACUUUGUCUAUGACCUACUUGGCUGAGGAGUGAGGAGCAGAUACUCCGGGAUGAUAUCAAGUUUGGUGGAAAAGCCCAAACAGCUUUUCAUGAAAGAUAUCAGGAUGCUGCCCAAGUAUAAUGUCACUACCACGUUAAGGUCUCAGGACAAACCUCUGGCUGCAUGGUUAUUUACACAGGUUGUAGAGGUAGUGCAAGCUGUAAGAUGACCAAUGCUAGGGGGAAGUUAAAUACCCAAUCAAGGCUCUUGACACCUUCAACACUGCAGUAGUUUCUCCUAUAUACUAUGUCAUGUUCACAACACUUACAAUCCUAGCUAGUGUGAUAAUGUUCAAGUCUGCCAGUUGAGAAAUGAAGUUAAUAAACUGGAGGAAAGGCUUGGAGUUACUGAUGAUCAUCUCAAACAAAAGAAUCUGAAAAUCAAGAAACUGACAGAUGAAAAGAAAUGUGCAUUGGCUACACAAUAUGCGGCAGAAGCAGCUCUUAGAAGGGUACAUGCAAAUCAAAAGGAUGAUGAUAUUCUCCCAAAUGACAGCAUCAUUACUCCAUUUGAAGCUGAGAUUAAAAUAUACAAGAAUGAGUUACAAAUAAUGUAACUCCCAGCAAGGAUGCAUUUGUCAAAUAAUUAAUUAAUUUAAUGUAACUUCUUCCUCUUUAUAUGAUGCUAUAAGAACAAUAUACUGAGUAUAUGUUUUGAAUUAUAGUUGAUGUAUCAACACAUUUUGUUGAUGUAUAGUUAUUUAUUAUUAUAGUUGAUGUAUCAAUACAUUUUGUUUAUUUUUUGAA